AGCUCCAACAGCGUAUAUUAAAGUUGCUGCAGUUAAAACGCUCGUAGUUGUUGUCCAACUAGACGCCACACUCUACUUGAGAGCGGCACACUAGUUUAGCGGAAAUUUAUUUCUGCCAAAACCUUGAGGAAAGAUUAGUGCUCAAAGCAAUCAUUCUUUGUCCUCCCCAGCAUGGUAUUUAACCUAAUCGAAGGAGAUUGUUGUCGAGUCUCCUUCUUACUAUACAGGAAUUCAAGGGGGUAUACGUACUUUAAUGUCAGAGGUGAAAUUCCUAGAUUUUUAAAAGACGAUCAAUUGCGAAAGCAUUCACCAAACGACUUUUCU
This 324-nucleotide ribosomal RNA is filed under the name uncultured eukaryote. RNAcentral's name for it is "SSU rRNA". It matches the Rfam family "Eukaryotic small subunit ribosomal RNA", at positions 587 to 972 of the family's 1831-position model. The record is from RNAcentral.